Papilio xuthus (Asian swallowtail) is the source of this 886-nucleotide long non-coding RNA. RefSeq lists it as uncharacterized. The record is from RefSeq and is a predicted model, not a curated record. Lineage: Eukaryota; Metazoa; Arthropoda; Insecta; Lepidoptera; Papilionidae. The transcript is spliced from 3 exons.
CCGCGAGCCGCGUGUUGCUGCAGCGCGCCGGCGCCGGAGUACAGCCGCACCAGGAAGUGAUCAGCGAGGGCGGCUGCCACCAGAGGCCGCACCUGACGCACUGCCGGCAUCAUCAGCUGAAUACUCAUUCGCAGAGUUCGUUGUGCGAUGUGCAACGGACCAGGUCAGAGCUGAGCCGCGCGCCGCGCGCCGUGCGUCUAGUGGGGAUGGCGAGUGCAGGCAGGCGACUGGAAUGCAGCUUGCUGCUCUUCUGGUGCUGGCCGUGGCUCGCUCGCUAGUUUCUAUCAGUCGAGAUCGUCGUUUAGAGUCGUAACCUGCCGCCGGGACGUCGGGAUGCCGGACGCCGGACGCCGGACGCCGAAGCCCGGGACGCCCCUCUCACGCCACGCUUCUUUUGUACAUACAUUCCCGACAUACACAUAAAAAUUAUUUUAAUACGAUUUUAUUGAUCUUUAAAAGCGAGGCGGGCGCCUGCAAUGAAUGAAUAACUACUACUUUGUAUAAAUUGUACUAAAAAUGAAUAAUUUUAUAAGUGUAAUAAUCUGGUCAACAAUUAGACGAAGUGGAUUUUAUGCAAGAAGAUGAUCGUAUGUUUAUUAUAGAUAUACAUUAACAACACAUCACGCGGCGCGAUUGCACAGUACAGUCCCCGCUCUGUCCCGAUGCAUCUGAAAUUAAAAAAAAAAUUAUAAUAUUAUACGAAGUCAAACAAAAUCAUAUUAAAGCCCAAACUAACAAGACAUGUGUGCAAUGGAAUGUUUCAUUAUCAAUAAAAUAGCAAUCGAGUCAGAGUGAAACAUUCGGCGUGUUUGAAUGAUGAUGUCGACGAUGGGACGGCGACCUCGUGCUCUGUGGCGUGUGAGGUGUGAGGCGGUGCGGUGCGGUG